RNAcentral lists this unclassified non-coding RNA (332 nucleotides) under soil metagenome. Its description in RNAcentral is "partial contains 5.8S ribosomal RNA, internal transcribed spacer 2, and large subunit ribosomal RNA". The stretch from base 1 to 120 matches the Rfam family "5.8S ribosomal RNA", at positions 35 to 154 of the family's 154-position model. The record is from RNAcentral.
GAUGAAGAACGUAGCGAAAUGCGAUACGUAAUGUGAAUUGCAGAUUUCAGUGAAUCAUCGAAUCUUUGAACGCACAUUUCGCCCGCUAGUAUUCUGGCGGGCAUGCCUGUUCGAGCGUCAUUUCAACCAUCAAGCCCUAGGCUUGCGUUGGAGCCCUGCGGCUGCCGCAGGCUCCCAAAUCCAGUGGCGGGCUCGUCGUCGUACCGAGUGCAGUAAACAUCCUCGCUCAGGGAACGUGACGGGUUCUUGCCGUGAAACCCCCCACAUAUCAAGGUUGACCUCGGAUCAGGUAGGAAUACCCGCUGAACUUAAGCAUAUCAAUAAGCGGAGGA